Molecule: ribosomal RNA, 444 nt
Filed under: uncultured bacterium
Lineage: Bacteria
Description: partial 16S ribosomal RNA
Rfam family: Bacterial small subunit ribosomal RNA
Source: RNAcentral
GUGAGGAAUAUUGGUCAAUGGGCGAGAGCCUGAACCAGCCAAGUCGCGUGAAGGAAGAAGGAUCUAUGGUUCGUAAACUUCUUUUGCAGGGGAAUAAAGUGCGGGACGUGUCCUGUUUUGUAUGUACCCUGAGAAUAAGGAUCGGCUAACUCCGUGCCAGCAGCCGCGGUAAUACGGAGGAUCCGAGCGUUAUCCGGAUUUAUUGGGUUUAAAGGGUGCGUAGGUGGUUUGAUAAGUCAGCGGUGAAAGUUUGCAGCUUAACUGUAAAAAUGCCGUUGAAACUGUCGGACUUGAGUGUAAAUGAGGUAGGCGGAAUGCGUGGUGUAGCGGUGAAAUGCAUAGAUAUCACGCAGAACUCCGAUUGCGAAGGCAGCCUACUAAGCUACAACUGACACUGAAGCACGAAAGCGUGGGGAUCAAACAGGAUUAGAAACCCUGGUGUCC